This is a long non-coding RNA of Fukomys damarensis (Damara mole-rat), 2253 nucleotides long. The record is from Ensembl. Lineage: Eukaryota; Metazoa; Chordata; Mammalia; Rodentia; Bathyergidae.
GGCUUGUUCAGUGUCACAUGGCCAGUUUAAUGCUGUUAAUAAUAUGAAGAAGGUUUCCAUGGCUCCAAAGGUUGUGUCAUUAUGCUUUACUCUUCUGUGCUUUUAUUUUUAUUCAUCUUUGCUGUGUACACAUGAAAAUAUAUAUGCUGUAUAAAUGUACCUUUGUCUUUUUUGGUCCUAGGUAUGUGAUGCAGGAGCCAUGGCAAAUCAGACCAUGAGACACGGCGUUAUGGGAGAUAGCCACAAGGUGGCAGCAAAAUCUCAAGGAUUUUCUCUGAUACAGUCCAGACCCCUUCUUGCUUUCCUGUAUUUACACAGCCCCCUUCAAGACCAAGGACACCAAGAUAAGAGAUUCACAGGACAUUCAACUGCUAACAAGCACCCAGAAGUCUGCAGUCAUUGCCCUGAAUCUAUAGUCACCUUGGAUUCCAGCAGAACCCCCACAAAACUGAGACUGUCCCAAGAAGAAACAUUCCUCUCAUGGAGACAGAAUUGCUCCCUCAAGCAGUAAGGACUUCUUCCAUAGAUGUCUUGCAAAACCAGAACUGAGAUAAUCAUCAACCACCUCUAGCCCAUUCCAGAAAAUCCAUAAACCUGGUUGCACUUUCUUUUUUGUCAGUGGGCAGUACUAUUCACUUUCUGUUGGUUGGACAUAAUACCUAAUAACCACAACUUAAAAAGGACGUUUCUUUUGGUUCAUGGUUCUAGUGGGUUCAGUCCAUGGUUGGCUGAAUCCAAGGCAGAAAUGACAUGGCAGAAGGACAGAGCAGAUGAAAGCUGCUUACCCCAUGGCAGCCAGAAUGGAGAAAGAGAAGGGAGGAGCCAGGGACAAGAAUAUACCCUUCCAGGUCAUGUCCCAAGUGGCCUGCCGCCUCCAACCAGGCCUCACCUCUAAAUACAAGACUUUUGGGGAACGUCUUAGAUCUAAACCAUAACAAGGCCAAUAUACUCUGCACCAGAGCUGAAGUCCUCUAUUUUCUCUUACUUUCUAACUCUGCCUGAUAAGAUUGCCUGUACUUCAUACUGAUGCAUCCUGAAAUGCUUUUAUGUGACAGGAGUUGACAGUUUUACUCCAUGGAGAGGGAGAAGUUGAGCUCCAUGGCUCAUCUUUUUUGUUUGUUUGUUUGCUUUUUUUUUGUUUUUUUGAGACAAGGUCUCACUAUGUAGUUGAGACUGACCUAGAGCUCACUAUGUAGCCCAGGCUGGUCUCGAACUUACAGUGAUCCUCCUACCUCAGCCUCCCGAGUGCUGGGAUUACAGGCAUGCGCCACCACACCUGGCUACCAUGGCUCAUCUUUGGGGGACCUCAUCAGACCCCAUCCAGUGACAAAAUUACUACCCCAAAUAUAAAAUAAAUGGACAUGUGUCAUAGUGAUAAAAGUAUAGGUUUGAAUAAAUAAAUAAAAUUUCCCACCAAAUUUUAUUUAAUAUACCAUGGAUUGAACUUUGCACUUGUGAGGCAGGCGCAGCGCCACUGAGCUAAAUCUCUGGCCCCUAGAUAGUCCUUUUUCUAAGAGGUGACACUUCAUUCCUCUUUCAACCAUGAGGAUGUACUUGGCUUAUUAGUGACUGCAUUCUCUUAAAUAAAACAUUUUAGCCAGGCACAGUGGUACAUGCCUAUAAUCUCAGCUUGGCUCAGUCAGGAGGACUACAAGUGCAAGCUCAAUAUGGGCAAUUUUGUGAGACCCUGCCUUAAAAGAAAAAUAAAAAGGGCUGGGGGUGUAGGUCCAUGACAGAGUACUUGCCUAGUAUGCAGGAUGCCUUGGGUUCAAACCCAAUUCUGAAAAAAAAAAAAAAAAGAAGACUACUAUUUCAUGCUAAGUUCUUACACAAGGCCCCACCAAACCAGAUAAAAAAUGAAAAUGGAGUCACUCAUACAAAAGUUCUACAUCACCAGAAUGCAACUUAUUUGUUAUCUUACCUUCUAUAAAUCAGGACAGUAAGAAUAGCUGAAUUUCUCAAAUAGUUCAGUUGCAGACAGCAUAAUGAGGUCCUCUUUGCUAUAAAUCUUACCAAUAAAAAGUAAUUUGAAAUAAUCCAAUAUUAACCAAUCAGUUUUUUCCUUGUUCUAGUUCCCUGUUCCUGCCUUAUGAUGAUGUAAAUUUUCAGUGACUAAUCAUGCUUUGACCUUGAUUUCUGCUUUCUUCAGCCCUUCACUAUAGAUAAAAUCUACUUUUUCUGUUCGGCUCAUGGGACACUUAUCUUUUUUUAUGGAAUGAAGGGUUGCCUGGUUCUACAAUUAUAAACAAAGCC